UUAUGGCCAUAUCACUCUUAAACACUGUUUCCUGUACUAUCACCGAAGUUAAACAGCGUCGACCGUGGUCAGUACCUAAAUGAGAGACCGCUUGGGAAAAUCAGGUGCUGUAGG
Acanthosepion pharaonis is the source of this 114-nucleotide non-coding RNA. The record is from the annotation of a GenBank genome assembly. Lineage: Eukaryota; Metazoa; Mollusca; Cephalopoda; Sepiida; Sepiidae.